RNAcentral lists this ribosomal RNA (253 nucleotides) under uncultured bacterium. Its description in RNAcentral is "partial 16S ribosomal RNA". It matches the Rfam family "Bacterial small subunit ribosomal RNA", at positions 524 to 776 of the family's 1533-position model. The record is from RNAcentral.
UACGUAGGGUGCAAGCGUUGUCCGGAAUUAUUGGGCGUAAAGAGCUCGUAGGCGGCUUGUUGCGUCGACCGUGAAAACCCGCGGCUCAACUGCGGGCUUGCGGUUGAUACGGGCAGGCUGGAGUUCGGUAGGGGAGACUGGAAUUCCUGGUGUAGCGGUGAAAUGCGCAGAUAUCAGGAGGAACACCGGUGGCGAAGGCGGCGACCUGGUCCUUGACUGACGCUGAGGCGCGAAAGCGUGGGGAGCAAACAGG